AAAACUUGUUCUGUUAGUUAAAUCAAUAAAAUAUGGAGAAGUUGUGUUUUUUUCUCCUUCCUAUCAGGCAUUGGGUGUUCUGCAACUAUUUUGUGGGUUGGCCUUUUUUGGAUGCGAGAUCGUUCUCAAUGUCCAAAACAUAUACUGACUUUUUUUUUUUGCUCAACAACAAUUUUUCAUUAUCCAAAUGUGAAUACAGGAUUACAACCUCAAGAGAUUUUAAACCCAACAUACAACCGAUGGGAUCUAGUAACGCAUAGGAACACUGACUCGGAUCCUACACUACCCAAUCUAUUCAUCGGUGUAUUUUUCACCACAAUGAAACGAGUUCCUCCCACGACCCGAGAGAAACAGUCUCUUGAUUACCUAAUUAGACCACACGAUACGAAAACAGUGAUAAAACAAACAGACUAUGACCUAAACCGAAUUCUGAUUCAACGACCAAGCAAUUGGUCUCCUCAUGAUCAGAAUUCAGUCCAUGUACCAAUCACAUCAACACCAAAAGUGCAUUCCGACCUCGGCUCAUACUCUUCAUCAACCACUGUCUCGAUCCAUAGCCAAAAACCGGACAGUAUCAUCCGGAAUGAAAAGCGAACCUUAGCAACAGUUGUCGUUUCCGGUUUCUCUAAUCGCAGCUAUCUGGAGGUACGAAGCUCCAACCACCGGAUGACGCAGUCAAUACACCGGCGUAGGGAAGUAGAGCUCUGCCACGCUUCACCGGCCAAGACCAUUCCUCCGGUUGACUACGCCGUCAGCUUGAAUCUUGGAACGUGAUGUCCCCGAGAACCGGAGAACAAUCCUCCAUCCACAGCCUAUCAUACUGACUUUUCUAUUUUCUUGUUCUUGUUUUUAUUCAUCGCAAUUGCUUUUGUUUUGAGUAAAUAAAAAAAAUUGCUUUUGUUUGGCAUGCAUGCAUAGAUUAGUUGGAAAAAUCCAGCUUAAUACAAUUACAGAUAUUCCGACAUGACUAAACUACUGAUAUUAUUGCCAUGAUUUAAAUUAUAUAGUCUUCUAUACAACACCAAUUUUUUCAUCAGUGGAUUAUAAUUUCCACCUUUAUCAUGAUCAUUUUAUCUCUUUCUUUUAUCUAGUCACACUUUUGUGCUACAUAUCUUCAUGUUAUAUAUAUGUAUUUCCUUAAUUAAGAUCUCCUAAGUUUUUUGUUGGUAAAAAAGUUCUCCUAAGUUUUCAAAUCAUGUGAAUAGUUUUACACACUUGCAUUGUGUAUUCACAUAACUAAAAAAAUGAUGCGAAGAAAACACCCGUAUAAGUUAACUCAGUAUGAAAACACUAGUAAAAAUCUACCGCAUAGUCACGGUAGUGCCACUAUAAAACCGUGGCCAUAUAAAAAACGCCACGGUUUCGCUACGGACUAGCAACGAUUUCAAAUUAGCCACGGUAAAACUAAGUAGCCACAACAACAGCCACUAAGAUUUUCGUGACUAGGUAACAAACCACAGUAUUGCCACUAAUAUUUCCAUGUCUAUGUACAUAGCCACGGUAUAGCCACUGUUUCAACGUGGCUUUUAUAAAAUAGCCACAAUGUUGCCAUGAACUUUGCGUGGCUAUUUGAAACCCUAAUCCCUAAACAUAUUUUUAAACUCUAAACCCUAAACAUAAACAUUAAGACUACAAUAUUUUCAUAAUAAAACUUCAUUAUUAAAUUAAACGUCAAAUUUUAAUCAUUUUUUAUCUCAAAUAUUUAAGCUCCAUUUAAAAUCAUAAUCUUAACCUUAAACUAUACAUUCUUUAAUCCUAUGUUUUAAAAACAAAUUCCAAUUAUAACAUUUUAAACUUCAACUCUAAAUCUUAAAUAUAAAACUAUAAACUUAACUUUUCAAAACUAUUUGGCAAACCAUAUAUCAUAUAAACUCAAAUCCUAUAUCAUACUUCAAACCCUAAAUCUCAAACUCAAACCUUACAUACAACCAUAAACUCUUAAAUUUAAUCUUAACAUUUAAAUUUAAGCCUUAACAUUUAAACUCAAAUCCUAUAUCAUACUUCAAACCCUAAAUCUCAAACUCAAACCUUACAUACAACCAUAAACUCUUACAUUUAAUCUUAACAUUUAAAUUUAAGCCUUAGCAUUUAAACUCAAAUCCUAUUUCUCAAACUACAAAUUCUAUAUUAAAAUAUAAUAUUAAAUCAUUAAACAAUAUAUCUUAUAUUUAACCAUCAUUCCCUAUACAUUUUCUAAACAUUAAACGCUAGCCAUUUUUUUAUAAAAUAAAUUAUCAAAGUAUAUGAAGAAUUAUAGACUGUUUUUAAAAGUAUAAACUCUUUUAUAAAAAAAUUAUACACAUUAAUAAAAACUAAACAACAAUAGAAAUGGACAACAUAAAUAAAACACACAGAUUUUUUUAUUUCUUUAUUUUUUCUUUUCUCCUUACCUCUCUUUUCUCAACCAAUAAGAAGGAGUUGCGUGGAUUGAUAAUUUUAACCAUUAGAUUAAAAUUAUGAAGGGUCCAGAUUAAAAUCCUUUUGUGUUUCUUUCUUCUUCUUUUUUUCUCUUUUCCGCUCUCCUUCGUCUGAUCUUUCUUCUUUCAUUCUAUCUCUUUCUCUGUAACAAUCGACUCAUGUAUUCACCUCCUCACCAUCACCACCGAUCUGAGAAGGAGCAGUGAUGAACCUUCAAGGAGAAUGUGGGUGACGGAGACGACAGUGUGACGGUACAAGGUGAAUCUGACGAUGAAGGGAAGGAGAAGUGGUGGUGUGGGAAGAUGAUGAAACGGAAAAAAGAAGUGGUGGUAUGACAGUGUGGCGCCUCCGGUGAAGCGUAGUGCGGCGGUAGUGUAUUUGUAUGUAUAUACGUAUUUAUGUAUAUAUAUAACAAUAAUGUGUAUUUUUUGUUUUAGUAUUAAUUAAUAAAAAUUAUUUGUUUGUUUC
Molecule: long non-coding RNA, 2886 nt
Organism: Brassica napus (rape)
Lineage: Eukaryota; Viridiplantae; Streptophyta; Magnoliopsida; Brassicales; Brassicaceae
Exons: 3
Source: RefSeq, a predicted model, not a curated record